This is a long non-coding RNA of Rosa chinensis, 622 nucleotides long. RefSeq lists it as uncharacterized. NCBI's taxonomy places the organism in Eukaryota, Viridiplantae, Streptophyta, Magnoliopsida, Rosales, Rosaceae. The transcript has 4 exons. The record is from RefSeq and is a predicted model, not a curated record.
CAAAAAAGAGGGAUCUGAUUUCAAAUUGAAAUCCCUCAGCUCGUUUUCCCCUCGAAGUAAAAUCCUCCAAAACCUUGAGCUCAGGACCAAAAGAAGAAGGCGCGAACCAGUUUCUCUCUCUCUCUCUCUCUCUCUCGGGGAAAUUGGCUGCUGCUGUGACGAAAAAAAGGGGUCAGAGGAGCCACUUGGACUUUUCUUCACACUCUUGCUGCUCAGGUGCUAGUUUUUUCUGUAGUUCUCAAUCUAAAUGACUCCAGAACCUACAGUGUUGCAAAGUCCUUGAACUUUUUGUUUAUAAUUCAGUACGUGCUGAGGGUUCUUCAAACCUGCUCCUUGUUAACACUGAUUAUAAGGGCUUCUGGCAUCCUUGCUGAAUCUGCAUGGGCUAAUCUCUCUUUCUUUAUGCUGGCGAGUGGCGACUCAUGCUCUAUGAUAUACGACUUCAUUAUGAGAAAUGGUUGGCAUGGGGCAUCAUAUCAAGCUAUAGUCAGCCUCUUCAAGUACUCAUGUAAUCAAUCUAAAGACAAUUCUAAUCUAGCUAGUAUGUUCUAUAUUUGAAAACUAGUUUAAUUAUACUAUGAUUUUAUAAUAUUUAUUUAAUUGAUAUAAUAAACUAUAUGAA